This 1345-nucleotide ribosomal RNA is filed under the name Lactiplantibacillus plantarum. RNAcentral's name for it is "bacterial SSU rRNA". It matches the Rfam family "Bacterial small subunit ribosomal RNA", at positions 74 to 1394 of the family's 1533-position model. Lineage: Bacteria; Bacillati; Bacillota; Bacilli; Lactobacillales; Lactobacillaceae. The record is from RNAcentral.
UGGUGCUUGCAUCAUGAUUUACAUUUGAGUGAGUGGCGAACUGGUGAGUAACACGUGGGAAACCUGCCCAGAAGCGGGGGAUAACACCUGGAAACAGAUGCUAAUACCGCAUAACAACUUGGACCGCAUGGUCCGAGUUUGAAAGAUGGCUUCGGCUAUCACUUUUGGAUGGUCCCGCGGCGUAUUAGCUAGAUGGUGGGGUAACGGCUCACCAUGGCAAUGAUACGUAGCCGACCUGAGAGGGUAAUCGGCCACAUUGGGACUGAGACACGGCCCAAACUCCUACGGGAGGCAGCAGUAGGGAAUCUUCCACAAUGGACGAAAGUCUGAUGGAGCAACGCCGCGUGAGUGAAGAAGGGUUUCGGCUCGUAAAACUCUGUUGUUAAAGAAGAACAUAUCUGAGAGUAACUGUUCAGGUAUUGACGGUAUUUAACCAGAAAGCCACGGCUAACUACGUGCCAGCAGCCGCGGUAAUACGUAGGUGGCAAGCGUUGUCCGGAUUUAUUGGGCGUAAAGCGAGCGCAGGCGGUUUUUUAAGUCUGAUGUGAAAGCCUUCGGCUCAACCGAAGAAGUGCAUCGGAAACUGGGAAACUUGAGUGCAGAAGAGGACAGUGGAACUCCAUGUGUAGCGGUGAAAUGCGUAGAUAUAUGGAAGAACACCAGUGGCGAARGCGGCUGUCUGGUCUGUAACUGACGCUGAGGCUCGAAAGUAUGGGUAGCAAACAGGAUUAGAUACCCUGGUAGUCCAUACCGUAAACGAUGAAUGCUAAGUGUUGGGAGGGUUUCCGCCCUUCAGUGCUGCAGCUAACGCAUUAAGCAUUCCGCCUGGGGAGUACGGCCGCAAGGCUGAAACUCAAAGGAAUUGACGGGGGCCCGCACAAGCGGUGGAGCAUGUGGUUUAAUUCGAAGCUACGCGAAGAACCUUACCAGGUUUUGACCUACUAUGCAAAUCUAAGAGAUUAGACGUUCCCUUCGGGGACAUGGAUACAGGUGGUGCAUGGUUGUCGUCAGCUCGUGUCGUGAGAUGUUGGGUUAAGUCCCGCAACGAGCGCAACCCUUAUUAUCAGUUGCCAGCAUUAAGUUGGGCACUCUGGUGAGACUGCCGGUGACAAACCGGAGGAAGGUGGGGAUGACGUCAAAUCAUCAUGCCCCUUAUGACCUGGGCUACACACGUGCUACAAUGGAUGGUACAACGAGUUGCGAACUCGCGAGAGUAAGCUAAUCUCUUAAAGCCAUUCUCAGUUCGGAUUGUAGGCUGCAACUCGCCUACAUGAAGUCGGAAUCGUUAGUAAUCGCGGAUCAGCAUGCCGCGGUGAAUACGUUCCCGGGCCUUGUACACACCGCC